RNAcentral lists this long non-coding RNA (421 nucleotides) under Helianthus annuus (common sunflower). The record is from RNAcentral. Lineage: Eukaryota; Viridiplantae; Streptophyta; Magnoliopsida; Asterales; Asteraceae.
GCCGCAACCACCGGAAGUUUGCCGCUGGUUCGAAUUUCGACCAUCCAUAUAACCACCGUCGCAAUCCUCCAUAAACCUUUGUUCGCCAGGAGCCUUCGGUCACGCCGCACCACCGUUGUAGUACCACCGAUAGCCGCCGAACCAGCGUCGGUACGGCCGUGACCAUCUCGUGCGAUUCGCAUUCCGUUCGAGUCAUUCCGACUCACGAUCAGCCGAACGCAAACUGUGAAUCACCGUUGCUGCUCACCUCAGUUCAGUUCCGUUUGACUACCCGCUACGGCUUCUCAUUAGUCUCCAUUCAAAUUUGUUUGGUGAUUAAGUUCCGACACCCAACUUGUGCUCUGUUAUGUUUGAGUCAUGUCAACAAGAGCACAAACGAGGAAGUGUCAUGGGUCGAAGGUAAACAUGGAAGCUAUGUGCA